AAUGACAGGAAGACCCAACAAUCGCUUACCAGAAAGCGCAAUAGCCGCCUGUACAGAAUCCUCGUGACAGAACUCCACAUAUGCAACACUAUAUUAUAUUCGUUAGCAAACGAACCCAAUUUGAAAAAUAAAAAAAAACAGAAUAAUAUCUAUUUAAAAAAAAAAAAAAAAUUAUAAGACAUACCCUUUCGAUCGUCCGCUAAUCUUGUCUCGAACAAUUUGAGCAUCGCGAACAGGACCAGCUUGUUCGAAAAAAUCAUAUAAUUCCCUAGAAGUCAAACGAUUUGCGAGUUGAGAAACGAACACAGUACGGCGAUCACGCUCUUCCUCUGAAAGUUUAGAGGAGCGUUCACGAGGACGGGAACGACUUCUCUUACGCUCAUGUGAACGGUCAUCAUCCCUCAAGUCCUCAUAAUCAUAAUCAUGGGCUCUAGAAGAACGAGAGGAGCGUUCUUCAUAGCGGCGACGACUACGACUAUGCCGCGAAGAGUAAGGAGGGCUGCGUGAAUAAUCAUCGUAUCGAUGGCGACUACGACUUGAGGGAUGGCGGCUUCGACUUGACCUUGAACUGCGAUCGCGAUCGCGAGAACGAACGGGUGAUCUACUUUGAUGAGAAUCUACAGAAGAGUGAGGAGAGGGAGAGCGACUACCAUAAUCGGACCUUGGACUAUAUGAUCUCCUAUGGUGUCUUGGGGUGCGAUGACUUGAGGAAUUUGUAACUACAUCAUCGUUAUAACCGCUAUCCUCUCGUUGAAAAGAUUGUUUGGAAGAUCUGGCGUACCGAUAACCCAUUGAAACGGGAGGAGGAGUUAGACGACCUUCACUUUCGUAAUUUUUAGACACGGGUUUGAAAGAGCGAUCAUGCAACCGUGUAGGCGGUGGAGGAGGGUUAGAGGGAUGACUAUGAGUGGAAGAGGUGAGUGAGGAUUCAUGAAAAGAAGAAGAUGCCUUUUGCUGAUUUUCUUGAUUUUGCGGCUAGGAAAAGGGUUAGUAAAAACAAUAAACACGGGAAGACAAAAAAACAAAGGGAAAAGGCGGGAAGGAAGGAAAAAAAUUGUAAACGUACCACUUCUUGCUUACGAAAAGGAGCCUCAGCCAAGGCUUCCGCGUCCAGCUGCAUUUAGAUUAGAUCUGUUUAUCUAUGCGUGGAAAAUACGUUCGUUUAUUUUCGUUUUCAAUACAACAAACUCUGACAGGAUCGGAACAGACUUCGACUGGAAAACUAAGUAAGCUAGUAAAAAUGGAGUUUUGUCAGUCUAGUAGCUUUCGUCGCUUCUAACACGAAUUGUUUUGUUAAAAAAUAUUAAUAAUGAGUACUCUUUUGAGCUAUUUUGUCCUCUUUCUUUCGGUGGAAAAAAAAGUGGAAUAUUCUACUGCCUAAGCGAUAAAAGAUGAGAGAAAUUUUAGUACAAACAAAAAAGAAAGCGAGGAAUAGCGGAAUAAGGAAAUUCCAAGCUAAAAACAAUUACCGACAAUAAGAAGCAAAGAAACGGAAAGGAAGGAAAACAAAAUUAUACCUAACCAAACCAACGAAAAGUAAAUCACGAAAAGUUAAUAAAUUUCGAUCAACUUAAGGUUUUCUCUUUUCAAGUAUUUUUUCGCAAAUAAUAAUUUUUAGUCUACUAUGAAUAAAUCAAUGAAUUGUAUCUGUAAAGCACUUCACUCGUCUGUUCUUUCCCUGUGUAUAGGCCCUUGAGUGCAAUUUUCUGGUGUUCAGUUUCGGAACCCGUUUUGCGAUACGGUAAAUAUUGUUUUCCGUUGUCUUACCAUUUUUCGGAAAAGUCGAUCAAAAAUAGCACGAUUUUUUGGUUCGCCCCG
RNAcentral lists this long non-coding RNA (1818 nucleotides) under Schizosaccharomyces pombe (fission yeast). The record is from RNAcentral. Lineage: Eukaryota; Fungi; Ascomycota; Schizosaccharomycetes; Schizosaccharomycetales; Schizosaccharomycetaceae.